NAGAUAAAGAAGAAACAAAGAUUUAUAUGUCGCACAAAGUUUAGUCGAUGUCCUACGGGGUAAGUUGACAAUGAAAACUUUUGUUGAAAAUAUUUGGAGACUUUUGAGUAUUUAAAGGGUGAGUGGCUAUAGAUCCUCUGUUCUCAUGAUCGAUUAAUAUGAUCCACCCAAUCAAUACUCGAACACCC
Molecule: small nuclear RNA, 188 nt
Filed under: Dictyostelium discoideum
Lineage: Eukaryota; Evosea; Eumycetozoa; Dictyosteliales; Dictyosteliaceae
Source: RNAcentral